Molecule: ribosomal RNA, 257 nt
Filed under: uncultured bacterium
Lineage: Bacteria
Description: partial 16S ribosomal RNA
Rfam family: Bacterial small subunit ribosomal RNA
Source: RNAcentral
GUCCACGCCGUAAACUAUGAUUACUCGAUAUUGGCGAUAUACGGUCAGUGUCUAAGCGAAAGUGAUAAGUAAUCCACCUGGGGAGUACGGUCGCAAGAUUGAAACUCAAAGUAAUUGACGGGGGCCCGCACAAGCGGUGGAGCAUGUGGUUUAAUUCGAUGAUACGCGAGGAACCUUACCAGGACUUGAAUGCAUUUUGACAGAUUGAGAAAUCAGUCGUUCUUCGGACAAUUUGCAAGGUGCUGCAUGGCUGUCGU